UGAUAGCGUAGAAACGUGAGGUUGCCGCAUGAAACAAGGCGGGUUUUCCGUGGAGCGAAGGUCAAGUUAUAAAACUGGCGACAA
This 84-nucleotide non-coding RNA is filed under the name uncultured Lachnoclostridium sp. RNAcentral's name for it is "S10-Clostridia ribosomal protein leader". It matches the Rfam family "S10-Clostridia ribosomal protein leader". Lineage: Bacteria; Bacillati; Bacillota; Clostridia; Lachnospirales; Lachnospiraceae. The record is from RNAcentral.